AAUAGUUUCUUUGGUGGUGACCUACUACAUGGAUAACCGUAGUAAUUCUAGAGCUAAUACAUGCGUAAAUCUCGACUCACGAAGAGACGUAUUUAUUAGAUAAAGACCGACCUCGUUCUGCGGUGAAUCAUAAUAACUUCACGGACCGCAUGGCUUUAUGCCGGCGGUGUUCCAUUCAAAUUUCUGCCCUAUCAACUUUCGACGGUAGGAUAGAGGCCCACCGUGGUGUUCACGGGUGACGGAGAAUUAGGGUUCGAUUCCGGAGAGGGAGCCUGAGAAACGGCUACCACA
This 291-nucleotide ribosomal RNA is filed under the name uncultured eukaryote. RNAcentral describes it as "partial 18S rRNA". It matches the Rfam family "Eukaryotic small subunit ribosomal RNA", at positions 111 to 414 of the family's 1831-position model. The record is from RNAcentral.